CUUAAGAUGAGCCCAUGGCCCAUCAGCUAGUUGGUAGGGUAAAGGCCUACCAAGGCUACGACGGGUCGCUGGUCUGAGAGGACGACCAGCCACACUGGCACUGAGAUACGGGCCAGACUCCUACGGGAGGCAGCAGUGAGGAAUAUUGCGCAAUGGGGGAAACCCUGACGCAGCAACGCCGCGUGUGGGAAGAAGGCUUUCGGGUCGUAAACCACUUUUGCACGGGACGAAAAAGGGAUAUCGAACAAAUAUCCCCGAUGACGGUACCGUGAGAAUAAGCCACGGCUAACUCUGUGCCAGCAGCCGCGGUAAGACAGAGGUGGCAAGCGUUGUUCGGAAUUACUGGGCGUAAAGAGUCUGUAGGUGGUUUGUCAAGUCUUUGGUGAAAGGCCGUAGCUUAAACUAUGGGAAUGCCAAAAGAGACUGGCAGGCUGGAGGC
This 439-nucleotide ribosomal RNA is filed under the name uncultured bacterium. RNAcentral describes it as "bacterial SSU rRNA". It matches the Rfam family "Bacterial small subunit ribosomal RNA", at positions 219 to 648 of the family's 1533-position model. The record is from RNAcentral.